GCCGGACGCCCAGGGGAGGGGUGCAGCUGGUAGGGCCCGAACACACUGGUGGUAACCCGAGGACUAGGCGACUUGCCAAUUCUAAAGAACGCUGCUUUUCCUGUGCCCAGUUCCCUCACUCUUACUGGACUUGAACGAAUGAGAACAUCAUCGAGCACCAAAUAAUAAUGAUUUAAAAAUCAUGGGAACAAACAGUGAUAAAAAUGAUACUAUUUGUGGAGGAUCUGUGGGUCUGUUUUUUUUACAAGGAGUAUUUCAUUUGAUUCUCAUCUGAUUUUGUAAGGAAAUUACAAUUACUGUGUUUCUAGCCGGGCAAUGAUCUGCAGGACGUGAGAACUUGUUAGAAAUGCUAAUUCUCAGCCCAUCCAGCCUCCACUGACUUAUAUAUGCUGGGAGGCAAAGUCAAGCCCUUGGUGUUUAACAAGCCCUCCUUGGGGGGCUGACGCAUGUUCAAGUUUGAGAACCACUGUUUUCAGUACUGCUUUGUAUCCCCGAGUGUGAACUUGAGCGGUUCCCCGUGGCAACUGCUCAAUAACAUACCUUUCUGGGGCCUCCUUCCUUUCCUUGUUUCACAUCUUUACUCUUCAGCUGGGCCUUCCUGGGAUCACCUCCAAACAACUACUUGCAUUUGAAUCCUUGCCUCAAGUCUGCUUCCAGAGAACACCAUCUGAGAGAUCUGCAGGGGAAGUGUGGUUGCCCAGAGAGGAGGAGGAAAGUGGCUGCAUGGCAUGUUUCAACAGACCCAUCAGGAGACCUGAUAAAACCCUAAAAGAAGAAUAUUUGCAUGAAAUGAGAAAUAGUUACCAAGGAAAACCGUAAAUAAGCCUUCUAGCCUCACUUGCUCUUAACAUAAAAAGUCAUUUUGGAGGCCACACAGUUGGGCAAUACAAGGUUAGCUUCCCACUAGUUUUGCUGUAAAAUGACACCUGUGACAUGGGGGUUGUGAUAACAGUUGCCUAGGUUACUUCCCAGGGACCUGAAGGCCACUUUUGCUGAAAACAUUGACCCUUCCCUUGAGCCUAGAGAUCUGAUGGGUGACUAAAAUGGAAUACAAAGUGUGGCAUCUGCCUCACAUUGUGUCUGUCCCCUUUGGUGCCUCAGCCCUUGGAUCAGAUUCUACCCAGCUCUGUACCUAGACAUGUUCAUCAUUUUAAAAUGUUA
RNAcentral lists this long non-coding RNA (1161 nucleotides) under Heterocephalus glaber (naked mole-rat). RNAcentral's name for it is "lncRNA (ENSHGLG00100046234.1)". The record is from RNAcentral. Lineage: Eukaryota; Metazoa; Chordata; Mammalia; Rodentia; Bathyergidae.